RNAcentral lists this ribosomal RNA (406 nucleotides) under uncultured bacterium. Its description in RNAcentral is "partial 16S ribosomal RNA". It matches the Rfam family "Bacterial small subunit ribosomal RNA", at positions 29 to 526 of the family's 1533-position model. The record is from RNAcentral.
AUUGAACGCUGGCGGCAGGCCUAACACAUGCAAGUCGAACGAGUGGCGGACGGGUGAGAAAUGUCUGGGAAACUGCCUGAUGGAGGGGGAUAACUACUGGAAACGGUAGCUAAUACCGCAUACCAUUGGAUGAGCCCAGAUGGGAUUAGCUAGUAGGUGGGGGAAAGGCUCACCUAGGCAACGAUCCAUAGCGGGUCUGAGAGGAUGACCGGCCACACUGGAACUGAGACACGGUCCAGACUCCUACGGGAGGCAGCAGUGGGGAAUAUUGCGCAAUGGGCGAAAGCCUGAUGGAGCCAUGCCGCGUGUAUGAUGAAGGCCUUCGGGUUGUAAAAUUCUGUCAGCGGGGAGGCGUUACCCGAAGAAGAAGCACCGGCUAACUCCGUGCCAGCAGCCGCGGUAAUAC